Long non-coding RNA from Lampris incognitus (smalleye Pacific opah), 530 nucleotides. RefSeq lists it as uncharacterized. The transcript has 3 exons. The record is from RefSeq and is a predicted model, not a curated record. Lineage: Eukaryota; Metazoa; Chordata; Actinopteri; Lampriformes; Lampridae.
UGUUGAUGGACAUUUUGAGCAGAAGGCAGCUUAUGGUUUAUCCACCAUCCAGAGGCAGGUAUGGACAGUGAUAAAGAGUUGCUCCCUCCAUGAUGGCAUCAGUUUCAUGGACUUGAGCAUGGACCUUGGAUUCCUCAGCAGUACAUCCAUCAGAAGGACCUUGCAGUUUCUCCUCCAUGAAGGUCUCAUCUACUCAACUAUUGAUGAGGACCACUUCAAGUCCAUAGCCGAUAGUAACUGAGGGCUGUUCUGGAUAUGAAUAGCCGGUAAGCCUGUGUAAAUGAGAUUUUGAUGAUGGCCAUAGCUCUCCUGAUCAUGAUGUUAAAAUCAAUCCUGUUAAUGGGGGAUGCGGGGGACCACUAUAACUCUGGGUUGUCGGGCACCUCCCCAAUCUGCACACUCCUGAGUCUUGGUGAGGAACACCUAAGGACCAAAAAGAUUCAUAACCAGUUGAAUACCACAUUUUCUUUCUGACUUGUUAUUGGUCUUGUGGGGUUUUUACCUCCCCCAUUUAUUUUUUUUGUGCAGAU